UUUGCACCUCCUUCUGUUCUGUCACCAUUCAUUAUUUAACACAUCUCUCUCUGGCCGCUGUAUCAACUUCUCCUGGAAGGAGACAGCUGCUCUCUGUCACCUUCACCGCUCAGACUUCUUUUUUUCUCCCAUUAUGUGUCAUGUGCAGCUGAGAACACUGAUUUUUGUAGCCUGGUUGCUGGGUUACGUGGCCUUCCUGCUCUCCAUCAGGAGGAUGUGGACAGGGAAACACAUCCGCAGUCCGCUGGUCCGCUCGCUCUUUAUGAGCAUGGUGACUGAGAAUGACACGGGAACAGCUGACCAGGAGUGGUACAGGUGCUGUCCUGAUUUGUUGGGAGAAUCAGUGCGACCCCUGUUUGUCCAGAGCCACCUGGACUCGGACACCAAGGCUUUUCUCAAGCGCAGUCAGGAAAAGUCUAGCUGGCUCUUCACACAGCUCUAUCACUCUCUGGUAUCAUCUGUCCUCGGUCCUAUGGUGUCACGCACCUCCAUCAACGGGUUUCUAGGCCGGGGCUCCAUGUUCGUGUUUUCUGCCGACCAGUUCCAGCGGUUGCUACGGAUCGUCCCGGACUGGACGGCGAAGAGGCUCCUGGACCUCGGAGCAGGGGACGGAGGAGUCACAGAGGUCAUGGGAGUCCACUUCCAGCAGGUCUAUGCAACAGAGGUCUCACCACCAAUGAAGUGGCAUCUCCAGAGAAGGAAUUUCACACUGCUGGGUAUAGAUGAGUGGCAGCAUACUGGUUUCCAGUACGAUGUAAUCAGCUGCCUGAACCUGCUGGACCGCUGCGAUGAUCCUCUACAUCUCUUGCGGGACAUCAGGAGCUCCUUAGUCCCCAAGACAGGAAGACUCAUCCUGGCUGCUGUGCUUCCUUUCGAGCCCUACAUUGAAGUCGGAGGGAAGUGGCAACGUCCAAAUAACCACCUUAAAAUUGCUGGAAAGACGUGGGAGGAGCAAGUAACGAACAUGUGCAGUGAGGUCUUCCAGCAGGUGGGGUUUGAGUUGGAGGCCGUGACCCGACUGCCAUACCUCUGCGAAGGCGACAUGUAUAACGAUUAUUAUGUACUGGAUGAUGCCGUGUUUGUUCUCAAGGCAUCAGAGGACGCCGGAGGUUCUCCUUAGUGAAAAUGAAAUGCUUUAUGGGAAUGUUCUCCAGAUGUUGUAGGGUUGUUGAUUUUUUCCGUUGGUUUUAGUGCAAUGUGGAAUAUGUCAUUCUUACAGUCAUUCAUUUCUGACUUGGGUGGAAAUGGGGAGUCACGUGAAGCUCAGGUGCUGUGGUUUAGAUCUUUUGGAUUCUGAGAUACCUCAGCCUUUUAAGCAAUAAAGAGAAAUGAAAGGCCAUCAGGUCUGCCACUGAAGAUUAGUUGUUUUAACAAAUCACUGUGCUGUAAGAGUUAAUCUGUAAAGUCUGUUACUUGUGUUUUCUGUUUAAUAUUUAAAUGUUAACAUCAGUGAAAACAAAUAGUUAUGGGAGUUAUGUGUAAAACAUUUCAUUUUUUUACAAUUAGUACAUGGCAACAGCUGUAAAUACUAGUGGCAAGGGCAGAAUGGUGUUUUAAUAUUCUUUACAUUUUCUGAAUACUGACAGAGUUCAACACUGACAUAAUUCCUUUAAGGUGGUUUCUCAGUUUAUUAGCCAAAUUCUCAGAUUAACUCUUUAACCCAAAGACCUGGCAUGGAUAGGAGCGGACCUACAACAACAGAGGCCUGGGGCAAAAUUACAGGCAAGAGCCCAUUUCUCUUUUCUUCAUUCAGUUUUCUCUCAUUACUUUUUGGAGCCAUAUUUGUCUACAAGCUACUUUCUGUUUCCUGUUGUCUACUGCUGCAAGUGUUUAACCACUGCAACCUUCAAUAUUUCUUUGUAUACAGUUGUCUCAAGAGCCAUAGGAUGUUGGCUUACUGGAUCUAUAACUGAGGACGUUUCCACUUAUUGGGACAAGAUCCAAGAUCAGUUUGGGGACUUUUUCAAAUUAUUGUUCAUUGCUGGGACGCAUACCUCUAUAUCCUUGUAAUGAAGAGACCAGAUGUAAUAUCUGAUGUAAGUACUAAACUUAUCCGUACCUGAUGCUAUCACAGUUGGGUGACUUUGUGAACUCAGUGCUGUGUCAGAGCAAGGAGAUCCUGAGGGAAUGAUGGGCUGGCAGACUAAUCAGAGACUUCAAUCAGAAUUAAAACAAGCUGGAUCCAUUUAUUUUAACAUUUUAAUGUGUUUCUGUUCACAGUAUCAUUCUUUCAAGCUCCAACCAGCUCUGUUUGUUUUGCCUUCUUGCACCUGCUGUAGCAAUUGUCUGAUCCGAUUCUGAAUUCCAAAGAAAGGAACCAUGCCAAUCCGAUGCCUGUACUACAUGGAAGCAGCCAGUGCCUCUCUGGAGAGACUGCUGUGAACCCAGGUCUAACAAAUGUGGUGCAGCGAUUCUGUUGUCCACUGAGCUGAGAAAUUGGUCCUACAGGACCGCAUUCCCUGUUCAUUAAGAGGUGAAACAACAGACGCAAGUCAAACAUAAGGCAUUGUAUCAGCUUAUCCGAGUUCUGUUUUCAGAACCAGCCAGACCUCUUUCUGCUCUAUUCUAAGCUUUCCCCAGACUUAAGAUAGGUAUGUAGAACUCCAGAUUAGGUCAGAACGUGUUUUACCGUUCAGAGAGACAGAGGGAGAUUGAGAGUUACUUGAAUCAGCUAAUAAUGGUGAACCCUACCAUAAGAUCCGUGUGGUGCCAAUGGUAACGUAUCCUGAUUUAACCCAUGUGUGGAGUUACUUCUUGUCUGUGGGAGAUGGCUCCUCCCUCUUCUAUCAUGAGACACUGCCACUGAUGAAGAGUAGGAUCAAAACAUCCUCAGAAGCCACUUCUGGCAAUCCAAGCACAGUUUGGCGAUGGUCUUUAUGUUUCCCUGUUAGGACAUUGUAUCACUAUUGAAAAGCGAUAAACUGGGUAAAAGAUCUGAUUAGUAAAAUUUUUAUGGGUGGCCAGGAAACUCCCCAGAUGUUAAACCCACUUAGAACUUGUGAGCAGUUCUCCAAAUGCAGGUGUAGAAACAGAUGUCAGCGAACUGAUCAUCCCCAAGAACUAUUUCAACAGAAUGAACAGAGCUGGUCCACCAGUGUACAAGGUCCUAAGCAAAAUUUGAUUAUGGGGCCCACUUAGAGUUAAUUUCAGCAUUCACCAGUCACCCCAAAGCCACUAAUCCUGUUUAAUUAUGUUUUAUCAGUCGUUUUACUGUUCUGUAUUUGCCUCAGCUGGUCUAAAGUUAACUAGUGAGCCAGCAAUUCAUUUCUUAAAGGAACAGUUCAGACCUUUAAAAAUAAGCUUGUGUUGAAAGAUGAACAGGUAAUAUUUUAUCUGCAGUGCAUACCUCUUCUAACUUUUUUUUUUGCUUGUAUGAAGAGUUUAGAUUUUCCAGGAGGAAUGAAUUCACUGCUGAUCAGAGCUGACCAGAGCCAAAGAAGACAUCAUCAAAAUAACUGCAAUCUCUAAAAUCUCAUAUGGUAUAACAUAAUUUUAUGACAGAAAUUUAAUUUCAAGCUUUGGUUUUUUCAGGCCACCAAGGGGCCUUAAGAAGCUGCUUAUGCUACUUAUGUCUUGGGCUAACUCUGAGAAUAGGAAACCAUUGUGAUGAUGUGGCCCACAUUGUGAAUUAGGUUCAACGCUGUAAAUAUUAAACCUUGAAAUUAAUUUGAUGUAAUUAGUAAUACACCUUGAAACCUGUGACUUAUAAAACAUUUUCUUCAGCAUGUCAAGGAAACGUGAUCUAAAAUUGCAUUAGCAACAGCACACAUUUAAAAACUUUUGUUCAUAAAUGCAGAUUACUUUACUUCGGUUUUCACUUGUAUCUCCUGACGUAUCCUAAUGACACGUCAAAUAUUUCCUCCAUAUGGCAGAGCGGGAUUUACUGCUGUCUUGAAAAUA
Molecule: RNA transcript, 3900 nt
Organism: Girardinichthys multiradiatus
Lineage: Eukaryota; Metazoa; Chordata; Actinopteri; Cyprinodontiformes; Goodeidae
Gene: mettl9
Gene name: methyltransferase like 9
Exons: 6
Source: RefSeq, a predicted model, not a curated record